Amphimedon queenslandica is the source of this 162-nucleotide long non-coding RNA. RefSeq lists it as uncharacterized. The record is from RefSeq and is a predicted model, not a curated record. The transcript is spliced from 3 exons. NCBI's taxonomy places the organism in Eukaryota, Metazoa, Porifera, Demospongiae, Haplosclerida, Niphatidae.
UAGAAAUGAGAGUAAAGGAAAUUCAACAACUUCUGUCUUUACCAAGAAAUACUAGUUCAGCAUCAUACAGAAUCAGAAGAGGAAUGAGAAUGGAAAUAGAACAAUUGCAAUUAUUAUUAACAAAUAAAACUGGUUUACUGGAUCAGAAUGAAUCAUUAAUAG